RNAcentral lists this ribosomal RNA (393 nucleotides) under uncultured bacterium. RNAcentral's name for it is "bacterial SSU rRNA". It matches the Rfam family "Bacterial small subunit ribosomal RNA", at positions 30 to 426 of the family's 1533-position model. The record is from RNAcentral.
AUUGAACGCUGGCGGCAUGCCUAACACAUGCAAGUCGAACGGUAACAGGCCCUUCGGGGCGCUGACGAGUGGCGGACGGGUGAGUAAUGCUUAGGAAUCUGCCUAGUAGUGGGGGAUAACCCGGGGAACUCGGGCUAAUACCGCAUACGUCCUACGGGAGAAAGCGGGGGACCUUCGGGCCUCGCGCUAUUAGAUGAGCCUAAGUCCGAUUAGCUAGUUGGUAGGUAACGCCUACCAAGGCGACGANCGGUAGCUGGUCUGAGAGGACGACCAGCCACACUGGGACUGAGACACGGCCCAGACUCCUACGGGAGGCAGCAGUGGGGAAUAUUGGACAAUGGGCGCAAGCCUGAUCCAGCGAUGCCGCGUGUGUGAAGAAGGCCUGCGGGUUGU